GACGAACGCUGGCGGCGUGCUUAACACAUGCAAGUCGAACGGUAAGGCUCCAGCUUGCUGGGGUACACGAGUGGCGAACGGGUGAGUAACACGUGGGUGACAUGCCCUGCACUUCGGGAUAAGCCUGGGAAAAUGGGUCUAAUACCGGAUAGGACCGCACCGAGAGGGUGUGGUGGUAAGUUUUUUCGGUGUGGGAUGGGCCCGUGGCCUAUCAGCUUGUUGGUGGGGUAAUCGCCUACCAAGGCGGCGACGGGUAGCCGGCCUGAGAGGGUGGACGGGCACAUUGGGACUGAGGCACGGCCCAGACUCCUACCGGAGGCAGCAGGGGGGAAUAUUGCAGAAUGGGCGGAAGCCUGAUGCAGCGACGCCGCGUGGGGGAUGACGGCCUUCGGGUUGUAAACUCCUUUCACCAUAGACGAAGGGUUUCUGACGGUAGAUGGAGAAGAAGCACCGGCUAACUACGUG
This 465-nucleotide ribosomal RNA is filed under the name uncultured bacterium. Its description in RNAcentral is "partial 16S ribosomal RNA". It matches the Rfam family "Bacterial small subunit ribosomal RNA", at positions 28 to 507 of the family's 1533-position model. The record is from RNAcentral.